GGGCAGACACACUGAAGUCGCUAGACAUUUGAGGAACACAUCCGGGGAAGAAGACACAGGUGGCUGGUCAUGGAGAGCCCGCUGGGGGAAGAGCACACAGACAGGCACCGGCAGGCCAUUGACCAGCGGGACAAGGUGGGCUCAAUGUCAUCACAAGGGUGCUUAAGAGGGAAAGAGGAAGCCAUGAGGGUCAGAGUCAAAGGAAGACUUGAAGAUACUACACUGCGGACUUUAAAGAUGAAGGAAGGGGCGAAAACCAAGAAUGUGGGAAGCCUCUAGAAGCUAGAGAAGGCAAGGAAACAAAUUUUCCACUAGAGCCUCCAGAAGGAACACAGCCCUGCUGACCCACUGUAAUGUCUGACCUCUAGAUGUGUAAGGGUAGUAAGACUGAAAGUCUCAGAAAGGCACUGUUAAAUUCUUAUUCCUCAACUAUGCAACUCAAAACUGGGGUCCUCAGCAGUGAGCGAGGGGUGAGAGAAGACACUGUAUAAACAUGGCACAUCCUCCUGGAAAGUCAACUUUACUCAAAGGUUCUUACACACAGUGACAGCUAGCAGAGUCUAAAAUGCUGACAUUAUGACUUAGAGAUGUGAUAAAGAGAAACAUCUAUUGCAUUUUCUGUCUGGUUCCAGUGUCGUCUAUGGUGUGAUUCAUCUCCCAAUACCCCUGGGUGCAAUAAAACUGGUCCCUUCUUUGUACCCCGUAGCUCUUUGUUCCUCUCCUCGUAUGUGAUGGCUGUUUGAGCAUCUUUUCACCCCUCCACACCAGGAACUCCUCAGUGAGUUCUUGAGAUCUAUGCCCUAUUCACCUUUCCAGAAAAUUUGAUUCCUGUCUUCAAGGAGUUUCCAGUCUGGGCAAGGAAGCAGACAUAUAAACAUGGAAUUACGUUGCAAUUUGGAAAGUGAUGUAAAACAAUUAUCUAAAUUAGUGUACACAGAUGAGCACUAAUUUACUAAAGAAUCUUGCUUUUCUCAUAUAACAACUGAGCAGUCGGCAUGUAGGUGUAGUCUGUUUCUUAAAAUAGCAAUGUUUUCCCAGUCUUCAUAUCAAUAUUUAUGUUGUUACUCAUGCUCUGUUAAAACAAAACAAAAUAAAACAAAAUCUCUCAAAUGA
This 1113-nucleotide long non-coding RNA is filed under the name Homo sapiens (human). RNAcentral's name for it is "survival associated mitochondrial melanoma specific oncogenic non-coding RNA, transcript variant 10 (SAMMSON)". The record is from RNAcentral. Lineage: Eukaryota; Metazoa; Chordata; Mammalia; Primates; Hominidae.